CGAAUCGCCACUUCUCUUAUCUGGGUGCUCUGCCCGCCCUUGUCGGCGCCCAGUACCUUCAUUUUCACAAGAU
This 73-nucleotide unclassified non-coding RNA is filed under the name Trypanosoma brucei. RNAcentral's name for it is "SHORT RRNA-II OF THE LARGE RIBOSOMAL SUBUNIT from Trypanosoma brucei (PDB 4V8M, chain BF)". Lineage: Eukaryota; Euglenozoa; Kinetoplastea; Trypanosomatida; Trypanosomatidae. The record is from RNAcentral.